GGUGGGGGCAACGGAAGGUGGAAGCAGCACAGAGCCCAGCAGUGCAAUUGAGGCCUGCCCAUGUUCCCCAGGGUCUCCAGGUGAAGAAAUGGGAUUUGAAGAAAAUACCAAAUUUCGCCCCAGGACAUGCAUUGACAGAACUGAUGGAUCCCAAGUUGUGUGUCAAAGUUGAAGCUGCACCCCAGGGCUAUUUGAUUCCCUCCCAGCCUUAUUUCUCCAUAAAAUUGGUAGCUGUUUGCAUACGAUUACAGAUGACAAAAUAAAGAAAGGUUACAGGAUCUGAGACAGCUUUGCCAAGAAACUUGAAAUAUUCGGGGACCCCCUAAUGUCCCAGCAGGCCCCAAGGUGAAGCAGUCACUGUGGCCAAACCUGCUGUGCCAGAUUUAUUCUAAAUUCUGAAACCUCCAUGCUGAGAGGUGGAACUCUGUCUCUUGUUAAAAGUGUCCCAUGUGCUCUUUGUUUUAGAUCCCAGUGCUUUGGAGAUGUUUAGGCUACUGGAUUUUCACCAGCACAGAGAGAACUUCGUAGAAUUGCUAGGAAAUGGAGCCAGCUCUCUAU
Molecule: long non-coding RNA, 558 nt
Filed under: Equus caballus (horse)
Lineage: Eukaryota; Metazoa; Chordata; Mammalia; Perissodactyla; Equidae
Description: lncRNA (ENSECAG00000050452.1)
Source: RNAcentral